This 263-nucleotide ribosomal RNA is filed under the name uncultured Ascomycota. RNAcentral's name for it is "partial 18S ribosomal RNA". It matches the Rfam family "Eukaryotic small subunit ribosomal RNA", at positions 619 to 888 of the family's 1831-position model. The record is from RNAcentral. Lineage: Eukaryota; Fungi; Ascomycota.
UUAAAAAGCUCGUAGUUGAACCUUGGGUCUGGCUGGCCGGUCCGCCUCACCGCGAGUACUGGUCCGGCUGGACCUUUCCUUCUGGGGAACCUCAUGGCCUUCACUGGCUGUGGGGGGAGCCAGGACUUUUACUGUGAAAAAAUUAGAGUGUUCAAAGCAGGCCUUUGCUCGAAUACAUUAGCAUGGAAUAAUAGAAUAGGACGUGUGGUUCUAUUUUGUUGGUUUCUAGGACCGCCGUAAUGAUUAAUAGGGAUAGUCGGGGG